GGCGUGCUUAACACAUGCAAGUCGAACGGUAAGGCUCCAGCUUGCUGGGGUACACGAGUGGCGAACGGGUGAGUAACACGUGGGUGACCUGCCCUGCACUUCGGGAUAAGCCUGGGAAACUGGGUCUAAUACCGGAUAGGACCGCACCGUGAGGGUGUGGUGGAAAGUUUUUUCGGUGUGGGAUGGGCCCGCGGCCUAUCAGCUUGUUGGUGGGGUAAUGGCCUACCAAGGCGGCGACGGGUAGCCGGCCUGAGAGGGUGGACGGCCACAUUGGGACUGAGACACGGCCCAGACUCCUACGGGAGGCAGCAGUGGGGAAUAUUGCACAAUGGGCGGAAGCCUGAUGCAGCGACGCCGCGUGGGGGAUGACGGCCUUCGGGUUGUAAACUCCUUUCACCAUCGACGAAGGGUUUCUGACGGUAGAUGGAGAAGAAGCACCGGCUAACUACGUGCCAGCAGCCGCGGUAAUACGUAGGGUGCGAGCGUUGUCCGGAAUUACUGGGCGUAAAGAGCUCGUAGGUGGUUUGUCGCGUCGUCUGUGAAAUUCCGGGGCUUAACUCCGGGCGUACAGGCGAUACGGGCAUAACUUGAGUACUGUAGGGGAGACUGGAAUUCCUGGUGUAGCGGUGAAAUGCGCAGAUAUCAGGAGGAACACCGGUGGCGAAGGCGGGUCUCUGGGCAGUAACUGACGCUGAGGAGC
RNAcentral lists this ribosomal RNA (700 nucleotides) under uncultured Actinomycetales bacterium. Its description in RNAcentral is "bacterial SSU rRNA". It matches the Rfam family "Bacterial small subunit ribosomal RNA", at positions 41 to 754 of the family's 1533-position model. Lineage: Bacteria; Bacillati; Actinomycetota; Actinomycetes; Actinomycetales. The record is from RNAcentral.